UUAGGUCAAGCUACAAAGGGCGCAGGGUGAAUGCCUUGGCACUAGGAGCCGAAGAAGGACGUGAUAAGCUGCGAUAAGCUUUGGGUAGACGCAAAUAGUCUGUGAUCCAGAGAUUUCCGAAUGGGGAAACCCACAUGGCUACGCCAUGUACUAUAUGCUGAAUACAUAGGUAUAUAGAGGUAAACCCGGGGAACUGAAACAUCUAAGUACCCGGAGGAAGAGAAAGAAAAAUCGAUUUCCUAAGUAGCGGCGAGCGAAAAGGAAAGAGCCCAAACCUAAGCCUUUGGCUUGGGGGUUGAGGACAGAACAUAAAUUUACUGAAUCUCUAGUUGAAGAUAGCUGGAAAGCUACUCCGUAGAAGGUAAUAGGCCUGUAAGCAAAAGAGAUAAAGUAACAGUUCUGAUCCAGAGUACCACGAGACACGUGAAACCUUGUGGGAAGCAGGGAGGACCACCUCCCAAGGCUAAAUACUACCUAGUGACCGAUAGUGGAGAAGUACCGUGAGGGAAAGGUGAAAAGAACCCCGGGAGGGGAGUGAAAUAGAACCUGAAACCCUGUGCCUACAACCGAUCGAAGCACUUUAUAUGUGUGACGAUGUGCUUUUUGUAGAACGAGCCAACGAGUUACGAUAUGUAGCGAGGUUAAGUACUUAAGGUACGGAGCCGAAGGGAAACCGAGUCUGAAUAGGGCGCAAAGUUGCAUGUCGUAGACCCGAAACCGGGUGACCUAUCCAUGGCCAGGUUGAAGCGAGAGUAAAAUCUCGUGGAGGACCGAACCACGUUGGUGUUGAAAAACCAUGGGAUGAGCUGUGGAUAGCGGAGAAAUUCCAAUCGAACUCGGAGAUAGCUGGUUCUCCUCGAAAUAGCUUUAGGGCUAGCGUCGAUUAAUUGAGUAAUGGAGGUAGAGCACUGAAUAGGCUAGGGGGCAUAUAGCUUACCGAACCUUAUCAAACUCCGAAUGCCAUAUACUUUUAUUUCGGCAGUCAGACUGCGAAUGAUAAGAUCCGUAGUCAAAAGGGAAACAGCCCAGACCAUCAGCUAAGGUCCCAAAGUGUAAGUUAAGUGGUAAAGGAUGUGGGAUUUCUAAGACAACUAGGAUGUUGGCUUAGAAGCAGCCACUCAUUCAAAGAGUGCGUAAUAGCUCACUAGUCAAGAGAUCCUGCGCCGAAGAUGUCCGGGGCUAAAACUUACCACCGAAGCUAUGGGUGUACACUACGUGUACGCGGUAGAGGAGCUUUCUGCAUUGGCUGAAGUCGUACCGAAAGGAGCGGUGGACGAUGCAGAAGUGAGAAUGUUGGCAUAAGUAGCGAGAGACAGGUGAGAAUCCUGUCGGUCGAAAACCUAAGGUUUCCUGAGGAAGGCUCGUCCGCUCAGGGUUAGUCGGGACCUAAGCCGAGGCCGAAAGGCGUAGGUGAUGGACAACAGGUUGAUAUUCCUGUACCACUAGCAGACGUUAUUACAAAUGGGGUGACGCAGGAGGAUAAGAUGUGCUAGCUAUUGGAUGCUAGUCUAAGCGUUUAGGUAUGUAGGAUAGGCAAAUCC
This 1541-nucleotide ribosomal RNA is filed under the name Clostridium faecium. RNAcentral describes it as "Clostridium sp. N37 partial 23S ribosomal RNA". It matches the Rfam family "Bacterial large subunit ribosomal RNA", at positions 1 to 1543 of the family's 2925-position model. The record is from RNAcentral. Lineage: Bacteria; Bacillati; Bacillota; Clostridia; Eubacteriales; Clostridiaceae.